RNAcentral lists this ribosomal RNA (926 nucleotides) under uncultured bacterium. RNAcentral's name for it is "bacterial SSU rRNA". It matches the Rfam family "Bacterial small subunit ribosomal RNA", at positions 8 to 931 of the family's 1533-position model. The record is from RNAcentral.
AGAGUUUGAUCAUGGCUCAGAUUGAACGCUGGCGGAAUGCUUUACACAUGCAAGUCGAACGGCAGCACGGACUUCGGUCUGGUGGCGAGUGGCGAACGGGUGAGUAAUAUAUCGGAACGUGCCCAGUCGUGGGGGAUAACGUAGUGAAAAUUACGCUAAUACCGCAUACGAUCUAAGGAUGAAAGCGGGGGAUCGCAAGACCUCGCGCGAUUGGAGCGGCCGAUAUCAGAUUAGGUAGUUGGUGGGGUAAAGGCUCACCAAGCCAACGAUCUGUAGCUGGUCUGAGAGGACGACCAGCCACACUGGAACUGAGACACGGUCCAGACUCCUACGGGAGGCAGCAGUGGGGAAUUUUGGACAAUGGACGAAAGUCUGAUCCAGCCAUUCCGCGUGCAGGACGAAGGCCUUCGGGUUGUAAACUGCUUUUGUACAGAACGAAAAGGUUUCUAUUAAUACUAGGAGCCCAUGACGGUACUGUAAGAAUAAGCACCGGCUAACUACGUGCCAGCAGCCGCGGUAAUACGUAGGGUGCAAGCGUUAAUCGGAAUUACUGGGCGUAAAGCGUGCGCAGGCGGUUAUGUAAGACAGAUGUGAAAUCCCCGGGCUCAACCUGGGAACUGCAUUUGUGACUGCAUAGCUGGAGUGCGGCAGAGGGGGAUGGAAUUCCGCGUGUAGCAGUGAAAUGCGUAGAUAUGCGGAGGAACACCGAUGGCGAAGGCAAUCCCCUGGGCCUGCACUGACGCUCAUGCACGAAAGCGUGGGGAGCAAACAGGAUUAGAUACCCUGGUAGUCCACGCCCUAAACGAUGUCAACUGGUUGUUGGGUCUUCACUGACUCAGUAACGAAGCUAACGCGUGAAGUUGACCGCCUGGGGAGUACGGCCGCAAGGUUGAAACUCAAAGGAAUUGACGGGACCCGCACAAGCG